UUAAGUUAUUAAGGGCGCACGGUGGAUGCCUUGGCACUAGAAGCCGAUGAAGGACGUUACUAACGACGAUAUGCUUUGGGGAGCUGUAAGUAAGCUUUGAUCCAGAGAUUUCCGAAUGGGGAAACCCAGCAUGAGUUAUGUCAUGUUAUCGAUAUGUGAAUACAUAGCAUAUCAGAAGGCACACCCGGAGAACUGAAACAUCUUAGUACCCGGAGGAAGAGAAAGAAAAUUCGAUUCCCUUAGUAGCGGCGAGCGAAACGGGAAGAGCCCAAACCAACAAGCUUGCUUGUUGGGGUUGUAGGACACUCUAUACGGAGUUACAAAGGACGACAUUAGACGAAUCAUCUGGAAAGAUGAAUCAAAGAAGGUAAUAAUCCUGUAGUCGAAAAUGUUGUCUCUCUUGAGUGGAUCCUGAGUACGACGGAGCACGUGAAAUUCCGUCGGAAUCUGGGAGGACCAUCUCCUAAGGCUAAAUACUCUCUAGUGACCGAUAGUGAACCAGUACCGUGAGGGAAAGGUGAAAAGCACCCCGGAAGGGGAGUGAAAUAGAACCUGAAACCGUGUGCUUACAAGUAGUCAGAGCCCGUUAAUGGGUGAUGGCGUGCCUUUUGUAGAAUGAACCGGCGAGUUACGAUUUGAUGCAAGGUUAAGCAGUAAAUGUGGAGCCGUAGCGAAAGCNNNNNNNNNNNNNNNNNNNNNNNNNNNNNNNNNNNNNNNNAGUCUGAAUAGGGCGUUUAGUAUUUGGUCGUAGACCCGAAACCAGGUGAUCUACCCUUGGUCAGGUUGAAGUUCAGGUAACACUGAAUGGAGGACCGAACCGACUUACGUUGAAAAGUGAGCGGAUGAACUGAGGGUAGCGGAGAAAUUCCAAUCGAACCUGGAGAUAGCUGGUUCUCUCCGAAAUAGCUUUAGGGCUAGCCUCAAGUGAUGAUUAUUGGAGGUAGAGCACUGUUUGGACGAGGGGCCCCUCUCGGGUUACCGAAUUCAGACAAACUCCGAAUGCCAAUUAAUUUAACUUGGGAGUCAGAACAUGGGUGAUAAGGUCCGUGUUCGAAAGGGAAACAGCCCAGACCACCAGCUAAGGUCCCAAAAUAUAUGUUAAGUGGAAAAGGAUGUGGCGUUGCCCAGACAACUAGGAUGUUGGCUUAGAAGCAGCCAUCAUUUAAAGAGUGCGUAAUAGCUCACUAGUCGAGUGACACUGCGCCGAAAAUGUACCGGGGCUAAACAUAUUACCGAAGCUGUGGAUUGUCCUUUGGACAAUGGUAGGAGAGCGUUCUAAGGGCGUUGAAGCAUGAUCGUAAGGACAUGUGGAGCGCUUAGAAGUGAGAAUGCCGGUGUGAGUAGCGAAAGACGGGUGAGAAUCCCGUCCACCGAUUGACUAAGGUUUCCAGAGGAAGGCUCGUCCGCUCUGGGUUAGUCGGGUCCUAAGCUGAGGCCGACAGGCGUAGGCGAUGGAUAACAGGUUGAUAUUCCUGUACCACCUAUAAUCGUUUUAAUCGAUGGGGGGACGCAGUAGGAUAGGCGAAGCGUGCGAUUGGAUUGCACGUCUAAGCAGUAAGGCUGAGUAUUAGGCAAAUCCGGUACUCGUUAAGGCUGAGCUGUGAUGGGGAGAAGACAUUGAGUCUUCGAGUCGUUGAUUUCACACUGCCGAGAAAAGCCUCUAGAUAGAAAAUAGGUGCCCGUACCGCAAACCGACACAGGUAGUCAAGAUGAGAAUUCUAAGGUGAGCGAGCGAACUCUCGUUAAGGAACUCGGCAAAAUGACCCCGUAACUUCGGGAGAAGGGGUGCUCUUUAGGGUUAACGCCCAGAAGAGCCGCAGUGAAUAGGCCCAAGCGACUGUUUAUCAAAAACACAGGUCUCUGCUAAACCGUAAGGUGAUGUAUAGGGGCUGACGCCUGCCCGGUGCUGGAAGGUUAAGAGGAGUGGUUAGCUUCUGCGAAGCUACGAAUCGAAGCCCCAGUAAACGGCGGCCGUAACUAUAACGGUCCUAAGGUAGCGAAAUUCCUUGUCGGGUAAGUUCCGACCCGCACGAAAGGCGUAACGAUUUGGGCACUGUCUCAACGAGAGACUCGGUGAAAUCAUAGUACCUGUGAAGAUGCAGGUUACCCGCGACAGGACGGAAAGACCCCGUGGAGCUUUACUGUAGCCUGAUAUUGAAAUUCGGCACAGCUUGUACAGGAUAGGUAGGAGCCUUUGAAACGUGAGCGCUAGCUUACGUGGAGGCGCUGGUGGGAUACUACCCUAGCUGUGUUGGCUUUCUAACCCGCACCACUUAUCGUGGUGGGAGACAGUGUCAGGCGGGCAGUUUGACUGGGGCGGUCGCCUCCUAAAAGGUAACGGAGGCGCUCAAAGGUUCCCUCAGAAUGGUUGGAAAUCAUUCAUAGAGUGUAAAGGCAUAAGGGAGCUUGACUGCGAGACCUACAAGUCGAGCAGGGUCGAAAGACGGACUUAGUGAUCCGGUGGUUCCGCAUGGAAGGGCCAUCGCUCAACGGAUAAAAGCUACCCCGGGGAUAACAGGCUUAUCUCCCCCAAGAGUUCACAUCGACGGGGAGGUUUGGCACCUCGAUGUCGGCUCAUCGCAUCCUGGGGCUGUAGUCGGUCCCAAGGGUUGGGCUGUUCGCCCAUUAAAGCGGUACGCGAGCUGGGUUCAGAACGUCGUGAGACAGUUCGGUCCCUAUCCGUCGUGGGCGUAGGAAAUUUGAGAGGAGCUGUCCUUAGUACGAGAGGACCGGGAUGGACAUACCUCUGGUGUACCAGUUGUCGUGCCAACGGCAUAGCUGGGUAGCUAUGUGUGGACGGGAUAAGUGCUGAAAGCAUCUAAGCAUGAAGCCCCCCUCAAGAUGAGAUUUCCCAACUUCGGUUAUAAGAUCCCUCAAAGAUGAUGAGGUUAAUAGGUUCGAGGUGGAAGCAUGGUGACAUGUGGAGCUGACGAAUACUAAUCGAUCGAAGACUUAAUCAA
RNAcentral lists this ribosomal RNA (2960 nucleotides) under Staphylococcus aureus. Its description in RNAcentral is "bacterial LSU rRNA". It matches the Rfam family "Bacterial large subunit ribosomal RNA". Lineage: Bacteria; Bacillati; Bacillota; Bacilli; Caryophanales; Staphylococcaceae. The record is from RNAcentral.